RNAcentral lists this ribosomal RNA (254 nucleotides) under uncultured bacterium. Its description in RNAcentral is "partial 16S ribosomal RNA". It matches the Rfam family "Bacterial small subunit ribosomal RNA", at positions 524 to 777 of the family's 1533-position model. The record is from RNAcentral.
UACGUAGGGUGCGAGCGUUGUCCGGAAUCACUGGGCGUAAAGGGCGCGUAGGUGGCGACCCAAGUCGAUGGUGAAAGCUCGCCGCUCAACGGCGAGUCGGCCACCGAUACUGGGUUGCUGGAGCACUGUAGAGGCAGAUGGAAUUCCGGGUGUAGCGGUGGAAUGCGUAGAGAUCCGGAAGAACACCGGUGGCGAAGGCGGUCUGCUGGGCAGUUGCUGACACUGAGGCGCGACAGCGUGGGGAGCAAACAGGG